GGGUUGUGAGGUUAAGCGACUAAGCGUACACGGUGGAUGCCCUGGCAGUCAGAGGCGAUGAAGGACGUGCUAAUCUGCGAAAAGCGCCGGCGAGGUGAUAUGAACCCUUGACCCGGCGAUGUCCGAAUGGGGAAACCCAGUGCAAUCCGUUGCACUAUCGUUAACUGAAUACAUAGGUUAACGAGGCGAACCGGGGGAACUGAAACAUCUAAGUACCCCGAGGAAAAGAAAUCAACCGAGAUUCCCCCAGUAGCGGCGAGCGAACGGGGAGCAGCCCGGAGUCUGAAUCAGCUUGUGUGUUAGUGGAACGGUCUGGAAAGUCCGACGGUACAGGGUGAUAGUCCCGUACACGAAAGCACACAUGCUGUGAACUCGAAGAGUAGGGCGGGACACGUGGUAUCCUGUCUGAAUAUGGGGGGACCAUCCUCCAAGGCUAAAUACUCCUGACUGACCGAUAGUGAACCAGUACCGUGAGGGAAAGGCGAAAAGAACCCCGGCGAGGGGAGUGAAAAAGAACCUGAAACCGUGUACGUACAAGCAGUGGGAGCCUCUUUAUGGGGUGACUGCGUACCUUUUGUAUAAUGGGUCAGCGACUUAUAUUCUGUAGCAAGGUUAACCGUAUAGGGGAGCCGAAGGGAAACCGAGUCUUAACUGGGCGUUAAGUUGCAGGGUAUAGACCCGAAACCCGGUGAUCUAGCCAUGGGCAGGUUGAAGGUUGGGUAACACUAACUGGAGGACCGAACCGACUAAUGUUGAAAAAUUAGCGGAUGACCUGUGGCUGGGGGUGAAAGGCCAAUCAAACCGGGAGAUAGCUGGUUCUCCCCGAAAGCUAUUUAGGUAGCGCCUCGUGAACUCAUCUUCGGGGGUAGAGCACUGUUUCGGCUAGGGGGCCAUCCCGGCUUACCAACCCGAUGCAAACUACGAAUACCGAAGAAUGUUAUCACGGGAGACACACGGCGGGUGCUAACGUCCGUCGUGAAGAGGGAAACAACCCAGACCGCCAGCUAAGGUCCCAAAGUCAUGGUUAAGUGGGAAACGAUGUGGGAAGGCACAGACAGCCAGGAUGUUGGCUUAGAAGCAGCCAUCAUUUAAAGAAAGCGUAAUAGCUCACUGGUCGAGUCGGCCUGCGCGGAAGAUGUAACGGGGCUAAACCAUGCACCGAAGCUGCGGCAGCGACACUUAUGUGUUGUUGGGUAGGGGAGCGUUCUGUAAGCCGUUGAAGGUGUGCUGUGAGGCAUGCUGGAGGUAUCAGAAGUGCGAAUGCUGACAUAAGUAACGAUAAAGCGGGUGAAAAGCCCGCUCGCCGGAAGACCAAGGGUUCCUGUCCAACGUUAAUCGGGGCAGGGUGAGUCGACCCCUAAGGCGAGGCCGAAAGGCGUAGUCGAUGGGAAACAGGUUAAUAUUCCUGUACUUGGUGUUACUGCGAAGGGGGGACGGAGAAGGCUAUGUCAGCCGGGCGACGGUUGUCCCGGUUUAAGCAUGUAGGCGGAGGUUCCAGGUAAAUCCGGUACCUUAUUAACGCUGAGGUGUGAUGACGAGGCACUACGGUGCUGAAGUGAUAAAUGCCCUGCUUCCAGGAAAAGCCUCUAAGCAUCAGGUAACACGAAAUCGUACCCCAAACCGACACAGGUGGUCAGGUAGAGAAUACCAAGGCGCUUGAGAGAACUCGGGUGAAGGAACUAGGCAAAAUGGUGCCGUAACUUCGGGAGAAGGCACGCUGAUGUGUAGGUGAAGCCCCUGCGGGCGGAGCUGAAAUCAGUCGAAGAUACCAGCUGGCUGCAACUGUUUAUUAAAAACACAGCACUGUGCAAACACGAAAGUGGACGUAUACGGUGUGACGCCUGCCCGGUGCCGGAAGGUUAAUUGAUGGGGUUAGCGGCAACGCGAAGCUCUUGAUCGAAGCCCCGGUAAACGGCGGCCGUAACUAUAACGGUCCUAAGGUAGCGAAAUUCCUUGUCGGGUAAGUUCCGACCUGCACGAAUGGCGUAAUGAUGGCCAGGCUGUCUCCACCCGAGACUCAGUGAAAUUGAACUCGCUGUGAAGAUGCAGUGUACCCGCGGCAAGACGGAAAGACCCCGUGAACCUUUACUAUAGCUUGACACUGAACACUGGUCCUUGAUGUGUAGGAUAGGUGGGAGGCUUUGAAGCGUGGACGCCAGUCUGCGUGGAGCCAACCUUGAAAUACCACCCUUUAAUGGCUGGUGUUCUAACGUAGACCCGUAAUCCGGGUUGCGGACAGUGUCUGGUGGGUAGUUUGACUGGGGCGGUCUCCUCCCAAAGAGUAACGGAGGAGCACGAAGGUUGGCUAAUCCUGGUCGGACAUCAGGAGGUUAGUGCAAUGGCAUAAGCCAGCUUGACUGCGAGCGUGACGGCGCGAGCAGGUGCGAAAGCAGGUCAUAGUGAUCCGGUGGUUCUGAAUGGAAGGGCCAUCGCUCAACGGAUAAAAGGUACUCCGGGGAUAACAGGCUGAUACCGCCCAAGAGUUCAUAUCGACGGCGGUGUUUGGCACCUCGAUGUCGGCUCAUCACAUCCUGGGGCUGAAGUAGGUCCCAAGGGUAUGGCUGUUCGCCAUUUAAAGUGGUACGCGAGCUGGGUUUAGAACGUCGUGAGACAGUUCGGUCCCUAUCUGCCGUGGGCGCUGGAGAAUUGAGGGGGGCUGCUCCUAGUACGAGAGGACCGGAGUGGACGCAUCACUGGUGUUCGGGUUGUCAUGCCAAUGGCACUGCCCGGUAGCUAAAUGCGGAAGAGAUAAGUGCUGAAAGCAUCUAAGCACGAAACUUGCCCCGAGAUGAGUUCUCCCUGAGAC
RNAcentral lists this ribosomal RNA (2806 nucleotides) under Enterobacter hormaechei subsp. xiangfangensis. RNAcentral describes it as "bacterial LSU rRNA". It matches the Rfam family "Bacterial large subunit ribosomal RNA". The record is from RNAcentral. Lineage: Bacteria; Pseudomonadati; Pseudomonadota; Gammaproteobacteria; Enterobacterales; Enterobacteriaceae.